CUGGAAUGGUUCCUGACUAAAAUCUAUAUGGCCUCUGGAUUGGACUGCGGCCGAUCAGGCUGUUAGUGAGGUAAUGGCCCACCAAACCUGUAACCGGUACGGGCUCUGAGAGGGGGAGCCCGGAGAUGGGCACUGAGACAAGGGCCCAGGCCCUAUGGGGCGCAGCAGGCGCGAAACCUCUGCAAUAGGCGAAAGCCUGACAGGGUUACUCUGAGUGACUUUCGCUAAGAAAGUCUUUUGGCACCUCUAAAAAGGGUGCAGAAUAAGGGGUGGGCAAGUCUGGUGUCAGCCGCCGCGGUAAUACCAGCACCUCGAGUGGUCAGGAGGUUUAUUGGGCCUAAAGCAUCCGUAGCCGGCUUUGCAAGUCUCCGGUUAAAUCCAGCUGCUCAACAGAUGGGCUGCCGGAGAUACUACACAGCUAGGGAGCGGGAGAGGCAGACGGUAUUCGGUGGGUAGGGGUAAAAUCCACUGAUCCAUCGAGGACCACCAGUGGCGAAGGCGGUCUGCCAGAACGCGUUCGACGGUGAGGGAUGAAAGCUGGGGGAGCAAACCGGAUUAGAUACCCGGGUAGUCCCAGCUGUAAACGAUGCAAACUCGGUGAUGCAUUGGCUUAUGGCCAAUGCAGUGCCGCAGGGAAGCCGUUAAGUUUGCCGCCUGGGAAGUACGGACGCAAGUCUGAAACUUAAAGGAAUUGGCGGGGGAGCACCACAAGGGGUGAAGCCUGCGGUUCAAUUGGAGUCAACGCCGGG
This 749-nucleotide ribosomal RNA is filed under the name uncultured archaeon. RNAcentral describes it as "bacterial SSU rRNA". It matches the Rfam family "Archaeal small subunit ribosomal RNA", at positions 170 to 922 of the family's 1478-position model. The record is from RNAcentral.